This 1050-nucleotide ribosomal RNA is filed under the name uncultured bacterium. Its description in RNAcentral is "bacterial SSU rRNA". It matches the Rfam family "Bacterial small subunit ribosomal RNA", at positions 451 to 1502 of the family's 1533-position model. The record is from RNAcentral.
AGCAAUACUCCAUUUUGACCGUUAGCCUGCAGAAAAAGCACCCGGCUAACUCCGUGCCAGCAGCCGCGGUAAAACGGAGGGUGCGAGCGUUAAUCGGAAUUACUGGGCGUAAAGCGCAUGCAGGUGGUUUGUUAAGUCAGAUGUGAAAGCCCGGGGCUCAACCUCGGAAUUGCAUUUGAAACUGGCAAACUAGAGUACUGUAGAGGGGGGUAGAAUUUCAGGUGUAGCGGUGAAAUGCGUAGAGAUCUGAAGGAAUACCGGUGGCGAAGGCGGCCCCCUGGACAGAUACUGACACUCAGAUGCGAAAGCGUGGGGAGCAAACAGGAUUAGAUACCCUGGUAGUCCACGCCGUAAACGAUGCCUACUUGGAGGUUGUGGCCUUGAGCCGUGGCUUUCGGAGCUAACGCGUUAAGUAGACCGCCUGGGGAGUACGGUCGCAAGAUUAAAACUCAAAUGAAUUGACGGGGGCCCGCACAAGCGGUGGAGCAUGUGGUUUAAUUCGAUGCAACGCGAAGAACCUUACCUACUCUUGACAUCUACAGAAGCCAGCGGAGACGCAGGUGUGCCUUCGGGAACUGUAAGACAGGUGCUGCAUGGCUGUCGUCAGCUCGUGUUGUGAAAUGUUGGGUUAAGUCCCGCAACGAGCGCAACCCUUAUCCUUGUUUGCCAGCACUUCGGGUGGGAACUCCAGGGAGACUGCCGGUGAUAAACCGGAGGAAGGUGGGGACGACGUCAAGUCAUCAUGGCCCUUACGAGUAGGGCUACACACGUGCUACAAUGGCGCAUACAGAGGGCGGCCAACUUGCGAAAGUGAGCGAAUCCCAAAAAGUGCGUCGUAGUCCGGAUUGGAGUCUGCAACUCGACUCCAUGAAGUCGGAAUCGCUAGUAAUCGUGGAUCAGAAUGCCACGGUGAAUACGUUCCCGGGCCUUGUACACACCGCCCGUCACACCAUGGGAGUGGGCUGCAAAAGAAGUGGGUAGUUUAACCUUCGGGAGGACGCUCACCACUUUGUGGUUCAUGACUGGGGGGAAGUCGUAACAAGGUAACCG